This 329-nucleotide ribosomal RNA is filed under the name Belisana sp. Mal35. RNAcentral describes it as "partial 12S ribosomal RNA". The record is from RNAcentral. Lineage: Eukaryota; Metazoa; Arthropoda; Arachnida; Araneae; Pholcidae.
UCAUUAUUUAAUUAAAGUAGUAUUUUCAAAAAAACUCAUUUAUACUGGCGGUCUUAUUAUUUUAAAGAAACUCGCUUUAUAAUCGAUAAUACUCGUUAAUUUUAACUUGAUAUAAAAAUUUAUAUACCGCCGUUAUAACAGACUCUAUUAAAUCUACUACUCACAUACUUCACUAAACAAAAAAUCAGGUCAAGGUGUAAUCCAUAAUCAAGAAUAAGUAAGUUACAUUAAGAUAAAACUUAAGGAUGAAAUAAAACAAUUACUUCUAAAAAAGAAUUUAUCUGUACAUUUAAAUUAAAAUUUUACAUAGAAUUAUUAUAUUAAGACGC